RNAcentral lists this transfer RNA (63 nucleotides) under Marmota monax (woodchuck). RNAcentral's name for it is "tRNA.Cys". Lineage: Eukaryota; Metazoa; Chordata; Mammalia; Rodentia; Sciuridae. The record is from RNAcentral.
GACUAGCUCAAUUGGUUGAGGGCUUGUCUCACAAGCACAAGGCCCUGGGUUCAAUCCCCAGCA